GGCGAACGGGUGAGUAACACGUGGGUGAUCUGCCUUGCACUCUGGGAUAAGCUUGGGAAACUGGGUCUAAUACCGGAUAGGAACCGUCUUUAGUGUGGUGGUUGGAAAGUUUUUCGGUGCAAGAUGAGCUCGCGGCCUAUCAGCUUGUUGGUGGGGUAAUGGCCUACCGAGGCGUCGACGGGUAGCCGGCCUGAGAGGGUGUACGGCCACAUUGGGACUGAGAUACGGCCCAG
Molecule: ribosomal RNA, 233 nt
Filed under: uncultured Actinomycetales bacterium
Lineage: Bacteria; Bacillati; Actinomycetota; Actinomycetes; Actinomycetales
Description: partial 16S ribosomal RNA
Rfam family: Bacterial small subunit ribosomal RNA
Source: RNAcentral